This is a non-coding RNA of Peromyscus maniculatus bairdii (prairie deer mouse), 491 nucleotides long. NCBI's taxonomy places the organism in Eukaryota, Metazoa, Chordata, Mammalia, Rodentia, Cricetidae. The record is from RefSeq and is a predicted model, not a curated record.
UGGGAGGGGGCUAGAAACAGAGCUGCAGCUGGAUCCUCUUAAGCUGUUCCAUUCUGGUUCAGGAUGGUGUAUCUCAGAGAAACACCAGGGUUGUAAGGGACAACUUAUGUCACCCAUCAUGUGCCAUUGUUAUGGCCAUUUAGUGAAACAGCAGACACACUCAUUCAGAUGUGUAUGAAAGGACAGAUGGAGAUAUAAACAAGAAGACAAAGCGUGGACAAAGAGGGUGGCAUCAAAUGAAAAUGCUUCCUCAGAGCAAACAAAAUUAUCAAGAGACAACCUGCAAAGUGGGAGUGCUCCCAACUCAUCCAACUGAAAAGCGCUGGUGUGGAAAACACAGGGAACCGACAUAUUGCUAGCAAGAAAGCAAACAACAUGAGUGAAGAAUGGGCAAAGGAUCUGAAAAAACAUUUCUUGAAAGAAAAAAAUCAAAAGACUGUUCAAUAGGUGUAUUAAAAACAUGCUCAAUAUUUCUAAUUUUCAUAAAAAUU